RNAcentral lists this small RNA (143 nucleotides) under Arabidopsis thaliana (thale cress). Its description in RNAcentral is "ATSL093940". Lineage: Eukaryota; Viridiplantae; Streptophyta; Magnoliopsida; Brassicales; Brassicaceae. The record is from RNAcentral.
AGUGACUAUCUCAUAAUUCUCCGACUUGUUCGUGGACGUGUCUUUGACACACUUUGAAGUCGUUUGUGGUAUGUGGCUUGUUUGCCUCUGUCUCCGACUCUCAUCGGCCUAUCCAAUCUACUUAUCGACCUAUGUAGCUAGAU